UGGGGGAUAGUUCAACGGCAGAACAGCGGCCUUUGGAGCCGAGAAUCCUGGUUCGAAUCCAGGUCCCCCAGCAA
Molecule: transfer RNA, 74 nt
Filed under: Anaerolineaceae bacterium
Lineage: Bacteria; Bacillati; Chloroflexota; Anaerolineae; Anaerolineales; Anaerolineaceae
Description: tRNA-Gln
Rfam family: tRNA
About the family: Transfer RNA (tRNA) molecules are approximately 80 nucleotides in length. Their secondary structure includes four short double-helical elements and three loops (D, anti-codon, and T loops).
Source: RNAcentral